Molecule: ribosomal RNA, 236 nt
Filed under: uncultured bacterium
Lineage: Bacteria
Description: partial 16S ribosomal RNA
Rfam family: Bacterial small subunit ribosomal RNA
Source: RNAcentral
CGCACGGGUGAGUAACACGUAUCCAACCUGCCGUCUACUCUUGGCCAGCCUUCUGAAAGGAAGAUUAAUCCAGGAUGGCAUCAUGAGUUCACAUGUCCGCAUGAUUAAAGGUAUUUCCGGUAGACGAUGGGGAUGCGUUCCAUUAGAUAGUAGGCGGGGUAACGGCCCACCUAGUCAACGAUGGAUAGGGGUUCUGAGAGGAAGGUCCCCCACAUUGGAACUGAGACACGGUCCAA